CAAGGGUGCACUCGGCAGCUAGAGGGCAGGCUCAUUUUUCCUUUAAAACUUGGGAAUCACUUCCUCACAGCUGCAGUGACUGCCAGAGUAUCCAAGAGAAGUUGCUAAGAGAAAAGGAAUGUGAAGCAAGCUAAGAAGUCUCUGCAGAGUAUUGUCUCAGCAGUGCCUCCCAGUAAAAACCUCAUGGGCAUCCUUGAUGGGCAGCAACAUGGGAGAAGCCUACCAGAGAAACAAGGCUUGGUCUGGACCUGAGAACUUCCGUCAGC
Molecule: long non-coding RNA, 266 nt
Filed under: Chloebia gouldiae (Gouldian finch)
Lineage: Eukaryota; Metazoa; Chordata; Aves; Passeriformes; Passeridae
Description: Erythrura gouldiae (Gouldian finch) lncRNA (ENSEGOG00005004911.1)
Source: RNAcentral